AUCGAACGCUGGCGGCAGGCCUAACACAUGCAAGUCGAGCGGUAACAGGAAGAGGCUUGCCUCUUUGCUGACGAGUGGCGGACGGGUGCGUAAUGUCUGGGAAACUGCCUGAUGGAGGGGGAUAACUACUGGAAACGGUCGCUAAUACCGCAUAACGUCGCAAGACCAAAGAGGGGGACCUCCGGGCCUCAUGCAAUUGGAUGUGCCCAGAUGGGCGUAGCUAGUAGGUGGGGUAACGGCUGACCUAGGCGACGGUCCCUAGCUGGCCUGAGAGGAAGGCCAGCCACACUGGAACUGAGACACGGUCCAGACACCUACGGGAGGCCGCAGUGGAGAAUAUUGCACGAUGGGCGCAAGCCUGAUGCAGCCAUGCGGCGUGUAUGAAGAAGGCCCUCGGGUGGGAAAGUACUGUCAGCCGGAAGGAAGGGAGUAAAGUUACUACCUGUACUCAUUGACGUUACCCGCAGAAGAAGCACCGGCUAACUCCGUG
RNAcentral lists this ribosomal RNA (490 nucleotides) under uncultured bacterium. RNAcentral's name for it is "partial 16S ribosomal RNA". It matches the Rfam family "Bacterial small subunit ribosomal RNA", at positions 29 to 507 of the family's 1533-position model. The record is from RNAcentral.